This 305-nucleotide ribosomal RNA is filed under the name uncultured bacterium. Its description in RNAcentral is "bacterial SSU rRNA". It matches the Rfam family "Bacterial small subunit ribosomal RNA", at positions 333 to 655 of the family's 1533-position model. The record is from RNAcentral.
CGUCUCCUACGGGGCGCAGCAGUGGGGAAUAUUGCACAAUGGGGGGAACCCUGAUGCAGCGACGCCGCGUGAAGGAAGAAGUAUUUCGGUAUGUAAACUUCUAUCAGCAGGGAAGAAAAUGACGGUACCUGACUAAGAAGCCCCGGCUAACUACAUGCCAGCAGCCGCGGUAAUACGUAGGGGGCAAGCGUUAUCCGGAUUUACUGGGUGUAAAGGGAGCGUAGGCGGCGAUGCAAGUCAGAAGUGAAAGCCCGGGGCUCAACUCCGGGACUGCUUUUGAAACUGUGUUGCUAGAUUGCAGGGAG